ACCUGAACCACUCCGCCAGAGCUCAGG
This 27-nucleotide small RNA is filed under the name Bombyx mori (domestic silkworm). RNAcentral describes it as "ovarian small RNA-4414". The record is from RNAcentral. Lineage: Eukaryota; Metazoa; Arthropoda; Insecta; Lepidoptera; Bombycidae.